Molecule: ribosomal RNA, 127 nt
Filed under: uncultured cyanobacterium
Lineage: Bacteria; Bacillati; Cyanobacteriota
Description: partial 16S ribosomal RNA
Rfam family: Bacterial small subunit ribosomal RNA
Source: RNAcentral
CGCAAUGGGCGAAAGCCUGACGGAGCAAUACCGCGUGAGGGAAGACUGCCUAUGGGUUGUAAACCUCUUUUUUCAGGGAGGAAGUAAUUGACGUGUACCUGAAGAAUAAGCAUCGGCUAACUCCGUG